GACGAACGCUGGCGGCGUGCUUAACACAUGCAAGUCGAACGGAAAGGCCCUGCUUUUGUGGGGUGCUCGAGUGGCGAACGGGUGAGUAACACGUGAGUAACCUGCCCUUGACUUUGGGAUAACUUCAGGAAACUGGGGCUAAUACCGGAUAGGAGCUCCUGCUGCAUGGUGGGGGUUGGAAAGUUUCGGCGGUUGGGGAUGGACUCGCGGCUUAUCAGCUUGUUGGUGGGGUAGUGGCUUACCAAGGCUUUGACGGGUAGCCGGCCUGAGAGGGUGACCGGCGACAUUGGGACUGAGGUACGCCGCAGACUCCUACGGGAGGCAGAAGUGGGGAGUAUUACGCAGUGGUCGGGAGCCUGAUGCAGCAACGCCGCGGGCGGGAUGACGGCCUUCGGGUUGUAAACCGCUUUCGCCUGUAACGAAGCGUGAGUGACGGUAAUGGGUAAAGAAGCCCCGGCUAACUACGUG
RNAcentral lists this ribosomal RNA (468 nucleotides) under uncultured bacterium. Its description in RNAcentral is "partial 16S ribosomal RNA". It matches the Rfam family "Bacterial small subunit ribosomal RNA", at positions 28 to 507 of the family's 1533-position model. The record is from RNAcentral.